GUGGUGGAGAGGUGAGGAAAAGAGUAAGCGCGAAUCACUCUUCCAAUUAAUGAUGGCACCACUACCUCAAACCACUCCUGGUUCUAUCAUGGAUAUCAAAUCAUUUAAGGCAUCAAUGUUUCUUUGUUUAUAAACCCGGGGAAAACACUGGUUAAACACCCCGUAAACCACUAACAUGUUUAGGGUUUAACAAAGAAAUGAGUUGUAUCCUACCCCACAUCCCAAGAUAUCCAGAGCUUUCAAAUGAUCAUAUAUAAACCUGUGUAAAUAGUGAGUUAUUUCCAAUGUGGGACUUACAAAUUCUAUUUUUCCUAAUCCUAACCCAUCAGAAGAAAUCUCAUGUUCUCAUUCCAGCCAGUUAGAGAGUAGAAGAACCUUAUGAUUGAAACCGAGGACGUCACUCUCAUAAGCUACCAAGAACCAAUGCUAAAGAUUCUGAAGUUACAAGUAAAGUGAGUUCAAGAAAUUUAAUGAAGAUUCCAAAGUUCAUUUUCUGCCCAACAUGAUUAAAUGUCGGAAUAAUUGGAGUGGUUGUGAUGGAGAAUUCAGCAUGCUUCUGCCAUUGAUAUUCUGGUCUUUGACAAGUUAAUCCAUCUGGAAAUUUCAAUUGGAAGCUAUUCUGGGAUUUCUUAGUUUACUUGCUGCUUCAACGUUCCCACAAGCUGGAAGUUCUAAUGAUUAACAAGAAAUCACGAAACCAUGCAACGAGACACGAGUAGUCAAGAUGGAGGCAUUCACUGCUUGUUCCUGAAUUCCUUUAACAUCUCAAAAUUUUAUGCCUUGGAGAAUAUCAAGGAUUAGAAACUGAGCUGGAUUUUAUAGGGUGUAUCAUGCAAAAUGUUAGUGUUAGAGACAAUGACUUUCAACUUAUCAAGAUCCUCAGGUUCAGAGGAAAAACUUCAAAUCUGCAGCAAUUUAUCUAUACUUCAUAGGAAGUUUGAAACCUGUCAAAUCUUAUUCCACUGAAUCUUAUUCUUAGAAGGUUCAGGAUUUGAAUGCAAUCAAUGGCUUUUCUCAGCAUUCCUGGUGUACGUUUGAAGCCACUGCUCUAGCCCAAAACUUGAUCUGCUGUUUCAUGUCACCUGCAGACUUAUUAGAAGCCCAGUUUGGAAUAGGAGGAGCACAACUUUGCACCAACCAUGCCUCGGAUAAGUACCUGCGCUUCAUCUCCAUAAUACCCUCUGUGUUGAAGCUUUCAACCUCAGUCUUUCUCGCUGGUCUACAUCUUGGAAUGCUACAAGUCUGUCAAAGCAAAAAUGACAUAAUGUGAGGACUGAAGAGUUAACUUCAACACCUUCAAAUCAAUCUGAAUUUGGAAGUAUAUAUAUAUGUUUUGAACUUUACUUCGCAAAGAACUAUAGACUUUUCUUAAAGUAGCAUUGUAGCAGCAAGCUACACACACACACACAUAUGUGUGUGUGCUUCCUGUCCUUUUCUUAUGAUAUGAGUUUAUUUAUGCCAAAAACUUUUGGCCUUUUUGGCCAUGCUGUAAUUGGUGCUGGCCACACUAAAAGCAAUCAUAAACUUUAGAAGGGA
Long non-coding RNA from Vigna angularis (adzuki bean), 1536 nucleotides. RefSeq lists it as uncharacterized. Lineage: Eukaryota; Viridiplantae; Streptophyta; Magnoliopsida; Fabales; Fabaceae. The record is from RefSeq and is a predicted model, not a curated record. The transcript is spliced from 7 exons.